Molecule: ribosomal RNA, 665 nt
Filed under: uncultured Micromonosporaceae bacterium
Lineage: Bacteria; Bacillati; Actinomycetota; Actinomycetes; Micromonosporales; Micromonosporaceae
Description: bacterial SSU rRNA
Rfam family: Bacterial small subunit ribosomal RNA
Source: RNAcentral
CUUUGGGAUAACCCUCGGAAACGGGGGCUAAUACUGGAUAUGACCAUCGGGCGCAUGUUUGGUGGUGGAAAGUUUUUCGGCCUGGGAUGGGCUCGCGGCCUAUCAGCUUGUUGGUGGGGUGAUGGCCUACCAAGGCGACGACGGGUAGCCGGCCUGAGAGGGCGACCGGCCACACUGGGACUGAGACACGGCCCAGACUCCUACGGGAGGCAGCAGUGGGGAAUAUUGCACAAUGGGCGGAAGCCUGAUGCAGCGACGCCGCGUGAGGGAUGACGGCCUUCGGGUUGUAAACCUCUUUCAGCAGGGACGAAGCGCAAGUGACGGUACCUGCAGAAGAAGCGCCGGCCAACUACGUGCCAGCAGCCGCGGUAAGACGUAGGGCGCGAGCGUUGUCCGGAUUUAUUGGGCGUAAAGAGCUCGUAGGCGGCUUGUCGCGUCGACUGUGAAAACCCGUGGCUCAACUGCGGGCUUGCAGUCGAUACGGGCAGGCUAGAGUUCGGUAGGGGAGACUGGAAUUCCUGGUGUAGCGGUGAAAUGCGCAGAUAUCAGGAGGAACACCGGUGGCGAAGGCGGGUCUCUGGGCCGAUACUGACGCUGAGGAGCGAAAGCGUGGGGAGCGAACAGGAUUAGAUACCCUGGUAGUCCACGCUGUAAACGUUGGGCGC